RNAcentral lists this ribosomal RNA (468 nucleotides) under uncultured bacterium. Its description in RNAcentral is "partial 16S ribosomal RNA". It matches the Rfam family "Bacterial small subunit ribosomal RNA", at positions 28 to 507 of the family's 1533-position model. The record is from RNAcentral.
GACGAACGCUGGCGGCGUGCCUAACACAUGCAAGUCGAACGGAAAGGCCCUACUUUUGUGGGUUGCUCGAGUGGCGAACGCGUGAGUAACACGUGAGUAACCUGCCCUUGUCUUUGGGAUAACUUCAGGAAACUGGGUCUAAUACCGGAUAGGAUCUCCUGCUCCAUGGUGUGGGUUGGAAAGUUUCGGCGGUUGUGGCUGGUCUCGCGGCUUAGCAGCUUGUUGGUGGGGUAGUGGCUUACCAAGGCUUUGACGGGUAGCCGGCCUGAGAGGGUUACCGGCGACAUGAGGACUGAGAGACGGCCCAGACGGCAAUGGGAGGCAGCAGGGGGAAGUAUGGCACAGUGAGCGGGAGCCAGAGGCGACGGCGUCGGGAGCGGGAAGACGGCCUUUGGGGGAUAAACAGCUGUCGCAUGAGACGAAGAGUGAGUGACGGUAAUGGGUAAAGAAGCACCGGCUAACUACGUG